CCUACGGGAGGCAGCAGUGAGGAAUAUUGGUCAAUGGGCGCGAGCCUGAACCAGCCAAGUCGCGUGAAGGAUGACUGCCCUACGGGUUGUAAACUUCUUUUAUAAAGGAGUAAAGUGAGGCACGUGUGCCUUUUUGUAUGUACUUUAUGAAUAAGGAUCGGCUAACUCCGUGCCAGCAGCCGCGGUAAUACGGAGGAUCCGAGCGUUAUCCGGAUUUAUUGGGUGUAAAGGGAGCGUAUAUGGGUAGUUAAGUUAGUUGGGAAAGUUUGGGGCUCAACCGUAAAAUUGCCAUUGAGACUGGGAGUCUUGAGUACAGUUGAGGUAGGCGGAAUGCGUGGUGUAGCGGUGAAAUGCUUAGAUAUCACGAAGAACCCCGAUUGCGAAGGCAGCUUACUAAACUGUGACUGACAUUGAUGCUCGAAAGUGUGGGUAUCAAACAGGAUUAGAUACCCCUGUAGUC
This 460-nucleotide ribosomal RNA is filed under the name uncultured bacterium. Its description in RNAcentral is "partial 16S ribosomal RNA". It matches the Rfam family "Bacterial small subunit ribosomal RNA", at positions 338 to 795 of the family's 1533-position model. The record is from RNAcentral.